AUAAAAUAUAUAAGAAUUUUACAAAUAAAUACGACCACUUGAUAUAUUUUAUCGAAUAAAAAUAUAUAGUACAUAGUAUAGAAAAAUAGACGGAGUGAUUUUUAAAUUUUUCUUCUUUUUCGUUUUUUUUUUUUUCAUCUAAUAUUAUCAGGGACACGUAAAUAGAUUUAUAUCGAAUAUAGUUUUGAAUAUUUUUUUUUUACCAAGUAUCAUAUCAUUAUUUAAAAUAUUCAUAUGCGUAUAGUUUCAGUGGUAGUAGUAGUAGUAGUAGUAGUAGUAGUAGUAGUAGUAGUAGUAGUAGUAGUGGAAAAAGUAGUAGUAGUAGUAGUAGUAGUAGUAGUAGUAGUAGUAGCAGCAACAUCAGCAACACCAGCAGCAGCGGUAGUAGCACAUCGAGGAGCAAUUUUUUUUCAAAUUUCUCUUAGUCUUUCUAAUUUCGUUUUCUCUCUUCUUCCGUCGCGACAAUACCAAUGUGCACGUAAUAUUCAUUACUCUCUCUUUUUUCAUUUACUUUUUUAUCGUUCUUUUUUUCUAUUUUUUCAUUUUUUCUCUGCCGAUUUCGUCGAACUAUAGUUCACAUAGUAUUAUAAUUUUUGUUGGAUAAAAAACAAAUUUCAUAAUUACGAUAAUCAUCGGGUAUGUUACGUGUAUAUUACACUGAUCACGUAAUAUACAUGUAAAAUACGUCAUACGUGAUAUAUACACGAUUACACACACGUAUAAUAUAUCAAUGUACAUAUGUAUACAUUAUACGGUACGUAGAUCGUGUAUAUAAUUUUUAGAUUUUCA
RNAcentral lists this unclassified non-coding RNA (789 nucleotides) under Athalia rosae (coleseed sawfly). RNAcentral describes it as "misc RNA ENSAEAG00005007647.1". Lineage: Eukaryota; Metazoa; Arthropoda; Insecta; Hymenoptera; Athaliidae. The record is from RNAcentral.